UGUCUCAAAAAAAUAAAAAAGAAAAAAAGA
RNAcentral lists this non-coding RNA (30 nucleotides) under Mus musculus (house mouse). Lineage: Eukaryota; Metazoa; Chordata; Mammalia; Rodentia; Muridae. The record is from RNAcentral.